Molecule: RNA transcript, 1448 nt
Organism: Gossypium raimondii (Peruvian cotton)
Lineage: Eukaryota; Viridiplantae; Streptophyta; Magnoliopsida; Malvales; Malvaceae
Gene name: AT-hook motif nuclear-localized protein 17
Exons: 2
Source: RefSeq, a predicted model, not a curated record
CUUUUGAUAUUUCUCACCAUUCUUCCUUUCUCUCGGUGACUUCUAAUCCUCCCCUGCUCCUCCAACAAUGGCGGACUAUGGCGUAGCAAUCUCUCUUUCUCAAGCUCACACCUCAGACGGCGACUCGUCCGAGCACAGCCCUCGAAGUGUCCCUAGACUCUCCGCCUCUGGCGGAGGCGGUUCCAAGUCUAAAACUCCUUCCAACAAGAUUGUUACCCUUGAUUAUCACCACCGAACUCCGUCGUCGUCCGACAACACUGGUAGGAAGCCUAGAGGGAGACCUCCAGGGUCCAAAAACAAGCCCAAGCCACCCAUUGUUAUAACCAGAGAUAGUAACUCGACUAUGAAGCCAGUGAUUCUCGAGAUCUCCGCUGGUUCUGAUAUUAUUGAUGCCAUUAUCAGCUUUGCUCGUACACACAGUGUUGGUGUUAGCAUUAUCAGUGCUACUGGGUCUGUUUCAAAUGUCACGCUCUGCCAUCCUGUAUCUCACGCGCCAGCGCUAUCUCUUCAUGGACCCUUUUCUCUACUCUCUUUGUCUGGCUCAUUCAUUGCCUCUAGUACUCUAUCUUCUAACAAAACAAGCCAAUCAUCUUCAUUGUCAACGUCACCGUCUCCUUCCUUGUCUUCUUCUGGUUCGUUCGGUGUAACUCUUGCAGGGGCACAAGGGCAAGUUUUCGGAGGGAAAGUAGGAGGGAAAGUAAUGGCCGCAACGCUGGUGAUUGUGGCGGCCGCUACGUUUGUAAACCCUGAGUUCCACAUGCUGCCGGGUGAAGGUGAUAAUAAGGACCAUAAUCAGGAAUCCAAGCCUUCUACACAUGGUUGCGUUGCUGGUGGUGCAACCGAGUCUUGCACUUCUACUGGCUUGUCCAUGCCUGUUUAUGGAGUAGCAAGUCCCACUCCCCUCAAUUGUCAAAUUCCUCCUGAUGUUAUGCCUUGGGGUCCUUCCUCACGUCCUUAUUGAGUAGAACAUGAACAAGGGCAUUUGAGAAUUCCAACAUACAUUCAUUAACUAGGAUUGUUCACGUCUCGUCAAAUACUGAUACUUGUAUGGACGAUGUGGAAAAGAUGGCGAGGCUUCAGUACUUUCAGGCUUUCGGCUAGUUCUCACUCAAUCUAGGGCUGCUAUACGACAGAACCAAUGGAAAUGUGGGUUUUUGAGGUAUUCAAUGUCAGGGGUCUAACCUUUCCCUUGGGAAGGGGCUUUUUUUUUUUGUUACAAAUCCAAAGCAAAAUGUUUCUUGGCAGCUUUUCUUUCUCGUCUUCUCGUAGAUCAGUCGCUUUUAUGUUUUGAUUUGGCUUGUCCUCAACUCUUAAACUCCAUAGUUACUAAUGGCUGGUAUCUGAUCCUUCAAAAUUUAAAAAUUGUUAUGCAUCCUCUAUAUGUAUGUAAUAUAUGUUUUAAAUUUCGUUAUCCAAGAAUUCACAUACAAGAUCUAAUGAUAUAAUUA